GACAGAGGUGCCGAGCGUUAGGCGGAAUCACUGGGCUUAAAGCGUGUGUAGGUGGAUGCCUAAGUACCUUGUGAAAUCCCACGGCUUAACCGUGGAACUGCUUGGUAUACUGGGUGUCUUGAGCCAGCUAGGGGCUACCGGAACAAAUGGUGGAGCGGUGAAAUGCGUAGAUAUCGGGAGGAACACCGGUGGCGAAGGCGGUUCUCUGGGCCUGUACUGACGCUGAGGAGCGAAAGCGUGGGGAGCGAACAGG
RNAcentral lists this ribosomal RNA (253 nucleotides) under uncultured bacterium. Its description in RNAcentral is "partial 16S ribosomal RNA". It matches the Rfam family "Bacterial small subunit ribosomal RNA", at positions 524 to 776 of the family's 1533-position model. The record is from RNAcentral.